AAGCUCCCCUCACGCAACGGUCCCUCAUUGGAGGGUUCACAAGGGAACAGGGUGCGGCCUCAUCCGCCAAAGCCCUGGCUGCCCCCGCAACUGUGAGCGGUGAGCUGCAUGCCAAAAGCCACUGGGACCAAUCCUGGGAAGGCGGCAUGAGGCGAUGAUCCGCGAGCCAGGAGACCUGCCGUGCGUAUCGAUGAGGG
RNAcentral lists this non-coding RNA (197 nucleotides) under Beijerinckia indica. Lineage: Bacteria; Pseudomonadati; Pseudomonadota; Alphaproteobacteria; Hyphomicrobiales; Beijerinckiaceae. The record is from RNAcentral.